ACGGGGCGCAGCAGGCGCGAAACCUGCACAAUGUGGGAAACCACGAUGCGGGAACUCCAAGUGCCUACACUAUGUGUAGGCUGUUCUCGAGCCUAAAAAGCUCGAGAAGUAAGGGCCGGGUAAGACGGGUGCCAGCCGCCGCGGUAAUACCCGCGGCCCGAGUGGUGCUCAUUAUUAUUGAGCCUAAAGCGUCCGUAGCUGGCCGGGCAAAUCUCCGGGGAAAUCGGGCCGCUCAACGGUCCGAAGGCCGGAGACACUGCUCGGCUUGGGAUCGGGAGAGGGUGAAGGUACUCCCGGGGUAGGGGUAAAAUCCUGUAAUCCGGGGGGGACCACCAGUGGCGAAGGCGUUCACCUAGAACGAGUCCGACAGUGAGGGACGAAGCCCUAGGGCGCAAACGGGAUUAGAUACCCCGGUAGUCUAGGGUGUAAACGCUGCAGACUUGGUGUUGGGGGUCCUGCGUGGGCUCCCAGUGCCGGAGCGAAGGUGUUGAGUCUGCCGCUUGGGGAGUACGGUCGCAAGACUGAAACUUAAAGGAAUUGGCGGGAGAGCACCGCAACGGGAGGAGCGUGCGGUUCAAUUGGAUUCAACGCCGGAAAACUCACCGGGGGCGACGGAGGGAUGAAAGCCAGGCCGAAGACCUUGCCCGAUCCUCCGAGAGGUGGUGCAUGGCCGUCGUCAGUUCGUACCGUAAGGCGUUCUGUUAAGUCAGAUAACGAACGAGACCCUCGCCUUUAGUCGCUAUUUCACGAGCGGUCGUGAGAGCACACUGAAGGGAUCGCUGCCGCUAAGGCAGAGGAAGGAGAGGUCUACGGUAGGUCCGUAUGCCCCGAAUCUCCCGGGCAACACGCGCGCUACAAAGGUGGGGACAAUGGGAACCGACCUCGAAAGGGGGAGGCAAUCCUGAAACCCCAUCGUAGUCUGGAUCGAGGGCUGUAACUCGCCCUCGUGAAAAUGGAUUCCGUAGUAAUCGCGGGUCAACAUCCCGCGGUGAAUGUGCCCCUGCUCUUUGCACACACCGCCCGUCAAGUCAUCCGAGUUGGGUCGGAGUGAGGGUGGCUCAUUUGGGUCGCUCGAACUUCGGUUCAGCAAGGGGGACUAAGUCGUAACAAGGUAGCCGUA
RNAcentral lists this ribosomal RNA (1120 nucleotides) under uncultured archaeon. RNAcentral's name for it is "bacterial SSU rRNA". It matches the Rfam family "Archaeal small subunit ribosomal RNA", at positions 325 to 1451 of the family's 1478-position model. The record is from RNAcentral.